Balaenoptera ricei (Rice's whale) is the source of this 371-nucleotide long non-coding RNA. RefSeq lists it as uncharacterized. The record is from RefSeq and is a predicted model, not a curated record. The transcript has 2 exons. NCBI's taxonomy places the organism in Eukaryota, Metazoa, Chordata, Mammalia, Artiodactyla, Balaenopteridae.
GGAUUUGGUCUGAGACUGUGUUAGGGCGGGAAGGGAGAGUGGAGAGACCCGGCUGGAGGAGGGGACAUGGGUUUGAGCCCUGGUCCAGGAAGAUCCCACAUGCCACAGAGCAACUAAGCCUGUGCGCCACAACUACUGAGCCUGCAUUCUAGAGCCCGCAAGCCACAACUACUGAAGCCCGCACACCUGGAGUCCAUGCUCCACAACAAGAGAAGCCGCCGCAAUGAGAAGCCUGCGCGCCAUAAUGAAGAGUAGCCCCCCUCUCCGUAACUAGAGAAAAAGCCCGCACACAGCAACAAAGACCCAACGCAGCCAAAAAUUUUUUUUAAAUUAAAAAAUAAAAAAAGAUAGAAGACUAGAUGACUAUUGAA